RNAcentral lists this ribosomal RNA (450 nucleotides) under uncultured bacterium. RNAcentral's name for it is "partial 16S ribosomal RNA". It matches the Rfam family "Bacterial small subunit ribosomal RNA", at positions 354 to 796 of the family's 1533-position model. The record is from RNAcentral.
GUGGGGAAUAUUGGACAAUGGGCGAAAGCCUGAUCCAGCCAUGCCGCGUGUGUGAAGAAGGUCUUCGGAUUGUAAAGCACUUUAAGUUGGGAGGAAGGGUAGUAACCUAAUACGUUGCUACUUUGACGUUACCGACAGAAUAAGCACCGGCUAACUUCGUGCCAGCAGCCGCGGUAAUACGAAGGGUGCAAGCGUUAAUCGGAAUUACUGGGCGUAAAGCGCGCGUAGGUGGUUCAGUAAGUUGGAAGUGAAAUCCCCGGGCUCAACCUGGGAACUGCUUUCAAAAAUGAUGAGAUAGAGUAAGGUAGAGGGUGGUGGAAUUUCCUGUGUAGCGGUGAAAUGCGUAGAUAUAGGAAGGAACACCAGUGGCGAAGGCGACCACCUGGACUGAUACUGACACUGAGGUGCGAAAGCGUGGGGAGCAAACAGGAUUAGAAACCCUGGUAGUCC